RNAcentral lists this ribosomal RNA (1990 nucleotides) under Velatocarpus pustulosus. RNAcentral describes it as "partial 28S ribosomal RNA". It matches the Rfam family "Eukaryotic large subunit ribosomal RNA", at positions 51 to 2190 of the family's 3401-position model. Lineage: Eukaryota; Rhodophyta; Florideophyceae; Gigartinales; Kallymeniaceae. The record is from RNAcentral.
CGGAGGAAAAGAAACUAACUAGGAUUCCCUCAGUAGCGGCGAGCGAAGCGGGAAGAGCCCAAGAUGAAAAGCCUGCUUGCAGGCGUUGUAUUUGGGCGCUCUUGGCGUGUCAGUGCGGGUAAGUUGUAUGGAAAUACACACCGUGGAGGGUGAAAGUCCCGUCCAACCUGCACAGGACACGCCGUACAAGAGCGUCUCAGUCGAGUCGGGUAGCUUGGGAAUGCUGCUCUAAUUGGUGGUAAAUCUCAUCAAAGGCUAAAUAGCGGCCGGAGACCGAUAGCGAACAAGUACCGUGAGGGAAAGAUGACAAGCACUUUGAAAAGAGGGUGAAAAGAGCCUGAAACCGUCACGGGAGAAGCGGAUUGCGUUGGAAUGAAGGGCCGUAGCUUGUUCAGCCGAAAGGUGCAUUGAAGCUGCGGUCUACUCGUCAUGGGUGUUGGGCGGUUGAUUUUGAACCGCCUGGUGCUGAGGGCUCCCUUUUACAGGUGAGGAUGAUUGGGUGACGACGCGAUACGACCCGUCUUGAAACACGGACCAAGGAGUCUAGCGCGAUUGCGAGUCAAAGGGUGCAAGCCUGAGGGCGUAGUGAAAGCGAGUUUAAAAACGAGCAGUUUGGGGCGGCAUGAGAUUGUUAAUCUCAAGUCCGACCUUGAGCAAUUGCGCUGGGACCCGAAAGAUGGUGAACUAUGCCGGAGUAGGGCAAAGCCAGAGGAAACUCUGGUGGAGGCUCGUAGCGGUGCUGACGUGCAAAUCGCUCGUCCGACUUUGGUAUAGGGGCGAAAGACUAAUCGAACCAUCUAGUAGCUGGUUCCCUCCGAAGUUUCUCUCAGGAUAGCGGGCCGACUGUGUUGUUUUGUGCGGUAAAGCGAAUGAUUAGCGCACUCGGGGGCAGUAUGCCUUCGGGCGAUUCUCAAACUUUCAAUGCGCAAGGGUGCCGCUGCUUUGUUGAGCGGCACCGGCAAAAACGUCGGCCCUGUGGGCCACUUUUGGUAAGCAGAACUGGCGAUACGGGAUGAACCGUAAGCAUGGUUAAGGCGCCAAACUGCCCGCUUAGAGAACCCACAAAAGGUGUUGAUUCAUCGAGACAGCAGGACGGUGGCCAUGGAAGUCGGAAUCCGCCAAGGAGUGUGUAACAACUCACCUGCCGAAUGAAUUAGCCCUGAAAAUGGAUGGCGCUGAAGCGGGCGGCCGACACCAUGCCGUCUGGUAAAGAAUAAUCAGAUGAGUAGGAGGGCGUGGUGGCUGUGUCGAAGCGUGCGAGCAGUCGUGCGUGGAACGGCCACUAGUGCAGAUCUUGGUGGUAGUAGCAAGUAUUCAAGCGAGAUCCUUGAAGGGCGAAGCGGGGAAGGGUUCCACGCGAACAUUGAUUGGGCGUGGGUGAGUCGUUCCUAAGCCGAGUGGCGAUUGCUAAGUAGCGGCGAAAGGGAAGCAGGUUGAAAUUCCUGCACACGGAUGUGGAGGCGGUGACGCUUAUUGAGGUGAACACGCUGGCGAUGGCGCUGGGCAGAGUUGUCUUUUCUGUUUGACCUGCUUUGCGCGGUGUGGAAUCCGCUUGUCGGGAGAAACACGCGCAUGAGGGCAGAGCGCCGGGGCUUUUCCGGCGUCCAGCUCGCCAUCGACGGCCCUUGAAACUUUACCUACUGAAUAAAUCCACGCCGUGGCGUACCGAUCACCGCAUCAGGUCCCCAAGGUGAACAGCCUCUGCUCAAUAUGAAAAAUGCAGGUAAGGGAAGUCGGCAAAUUAGACCCGUAACUUUGGGAUAAGGGUUGGCUCUAGUGCUGCGUGGGAGUGGUUGCCUGAGGUUGGCGUGUUUGGAGAGGCUGGCUUGGCGCGGGACCCCUCGGGGACCUGUUCCGGCUGCUGAACUGGGCAUUUCACUUCGGGCGACGCCCACAGCAUGCAGCAGACUAGAACUGCAACGGGCAAAGGGAAUCCGACUGUUUAAUUAAAACAAAGCAUUGCGAGGGCCGUGGCCGGUGAUGACGCAAU